GCGAGUCAUAUUUUUUUAGUGGAUUUACGUGGGAAUCAGUAGUCAUAGGCUAUAGUUUUGGACUAGUUGUUGGAACUGUCAUGUGGAGUCUCAUGUUUAAAUAUCGUAAGCCAAAAUGGUUUGUGGAAUUUUUUGAUGGACUCAUGCCUCACAAAAGAAGAAGGCCAAAGAAGAGAGCUCAGAGACGACGGUCUUAAUGGAAGAUUGAGAGGGCAACAUUGUCUUUGUUUGAUUUUGUGGACUAAUUAGUGAACUUUUCUGGUUCUGUUUUUGUCUUUUCAAUUUUCUGUUUGUUGUUUGUAUAUGUUUGAUAGAAACAUAAUUAUAUGUGUGUUAUUCAAGUUAUGUUAGUUUCUGUUUCAAGUUGAUAGAAGCGAUCUACACAGCCACUCAUUAGUUAUGUUAAUCAGACUCUUCAAAAAUGUCAAUGGCUACGUAUUGAAUUCUUCACAAGUAGUGCAUUUUUUAUGAAACCAACACAAAUAUAAUAUCAUUUUUAUUUUAGUAGAGUCGGAGCAACAUAGCUCAUCAGCAUAACAAAAUAGGAAAAAGUAAAGCAGUAAGCAAAUUGAUCAGUUUGGUUUAUGAUUGAAAUCACUUGCUAUUAGAAAGUUUAUAUUUUUGAAAAUUUAUGUAGAAGAGUACUCAAAACUACAGAAUUGGCUAAUAAUUUUGUGGUUCUGCAUCUUUAGAAUCAUAAAUCAGCCUUAAAAUGUUCUCUAACUCAGUAUCAACUUCCGCGAUUUUAAUUUUACAUAUAUUUAUACUUCGUGAACGAAAGUUAUGUCUCUGGUUGUUAGGGGUUUUUUAAAGGGCAAAACACUCUAUACAAGGAUUUUAUUUUAUUUUCAGGUUCGAAUUCGAGAUCUGCAAAACUACAUGUCAAAGUUAUUUUUGAUGGACUAAAAUAGACUUAUUCCUAAAAUUUAACUUAACAAAAAGGGAAAUAUAAUCAAAUUAUUUCAAAAUUAAGAAAGACAAAUUAAAACCUUUACAUAAUUUGACACAUGGCAAAAUAGCAAAAUAAUUGGCUAAAAUUUUUGUCCCACAAAUAGUCAACUCACCUGUCAGAAAAAUGACAUUCCUAUUUUCUUUUCCUAAUUUUAGUUUGGACACUUUGAAAACAAUUAAAGUAUCUUUGUCCGGUUAUGGCCGUUCAAAGCUUUGAUUAUAACAAGAAAGAUGAUUGAAAAUAUCAGUUUUCUUCGUUUUAAUUUGUUUGUUUUAUUAUUUUUAUAAAAUAUUUUUUAAAUUUUAUUUUAUUUAUCAUACUUUAUACUUUAAUUUGUCUCAAAAAGAAUAAACUUUUUUUUUUUAUAAUUUCAAUGUUUCACGUUCAAGACUAUAACAUUAAAAGAUAUUUUGAUAUGUUUUUUUAAAUAACUUUAAUUUAAUAUUAUAUCAUUGAAAAUUCUUCUUUACUUAUAUUUUUUUUUAAUUUGAAUUUUUAAAUUUCAAUAUUCCAUGCGACAUGUUUAAAACUCAUUUUAAAAGCAUAUGAUUCAAAGAUUUUUUUUUCACUUUCUUAAACUUAUAUCAAGUAGAUAAAAACUAGACAAAUAAAUUAAAACGAAGUCUCACUUUUCAAUACACAUAUUCCAACUUUCAUUGAGUCUCAAGAUAUACUUUUUAAUUUAUUUUUUUCAAGAAUUUACUUGUUGGAACAACCCCACCAGAAGAAAACUCCAAAAAACAGAUUAAAAAUCCCAACUUUGAGUUCUUCUUUCAAUAAUUUUAAGUUUCAGUGAAUCUCAAGAUGUAAUUUUUUUUUUCAAGAAUUCACCUUUUAGGAAAACCCCAUAAGAAGAAAAACUCCAAAAAACAGAUUCAAAAAUCUCACCUUCUUUUUUUUUAGAUCUUUUCAACAUUUUUCAGUUUACUAUCUCACAAAAAUCAUUGAACAAGGAAGAGGGGAUUUAACAAAAAGUGGGAAAAAAAUAGUCAUUUGUUUAGGGUUGUGUUUGGAAUAGCAUUGGACUUGCUAUAAUAGUUGCUUUUGUGAAAUCUGAAAAUGCUAGAUCCAAACAACGUACUGAUCUGGUUAGUCAACUAAAGUCUUUGUUUUUUUUUUUUAAUUAAAUUUUUUGUAUUUUUAGUUUUUUCCAUUUCUGGGUUUUUUUUUUUUUUUUUUUUUGUAUUUAUGUUGUUAUUUGGUUGAAUUGUGAAGGCUAGUGGAAUUGCUGCAUUUGCUAGAAUGACAGUGGAAGAUUCAAGAAAAAUCUUUACACCAGAACAAUACCCUUCUUGGGUUGUUUUCUCAAAUCAACAAAAGGUGAAGUCGUUUAACUUUUCUUUAAGAUGUAUUUGGUAGGACGCAGAGGCGGAGUCAGAAUUUUUAGUUUAUAUAGGUUCUAGAUCACAGUUUUUUUUGCUUUGUUGGGUUUCUGAAAAUUAUGUUGUUCGGACUCUCAAAAAAUGUUGUUUGUACCCGUUUCGGAUUCUCUAAAGUUGCAUUAGUUUGGAGCAUACGACACUCACCCGUCACCAUUUUUGAAGAGUCUUAGCAACAUUGACUGAGAAGAUUAUUUUUACAUCUUAUAACAUUAAUAUAGGGUUAAACCAAAGCUACUGGAUUUUGAUGUACUUGUAGCUAAAGCAAUGUCAUUUAUCAUAAAUCUGUAAACUGACUUAUUUUCUAGAAAAUGUUUUUCGUAAUGGAUUUUUUUUUCUGGGAAAAGACAUUUAAUCGGAUAGUGUUUGGUGAAAAUAUUUGAGUAGUAAAGAUUGAUAAUAAUGUCUAUAUGUUGAGAUAAUUGUUUGUUCCUUUUUGAUGGAAAAUAAGAUAUUACCAAACACACUGUUGAUGUCCUUUUCUGUUUUUGAGCACAUAGUGCCCAUAUAAGAUCAUUGAAAUUAAAUUGUGGUCUUUGGUUGCAAGACUGUCCCUUUAUGGACUUCGUUUAAUAAUUAUCUAGAAUACAUGUUGUGAUUUAGUUUGUUGAGAGCAAACAAGGACCUUUUUAAUUUUUCAAUUUUGUUCGUACAGUUGGCAUGGCUUAAUUCUCAUCUUGAAAAGAUCUGGCCAUAUGUGGAUGAGGUUAGGGGUUCAAUGUCUAUACAUAGUUUGGUUUUCCACUCUAUUGCGAUUCUGCAAUUUUCCAUUUCCCCCCUUUUUUUGGUUCUAAUUUAUGAUUGUUGGAACUUCUUUGUUGCUAAUUGAGUCGGUAUGGGUAUAUAUGGUCAUUCAGGCAGCAUCAGAACUAGUAAAGUCAAGUGUGGAGCCAGUUUUGGAACAAUAUAGGCCUGUGAUUUUGGCGUCGUUAAAAUUUUCAAAGUUCACUCUUGAUACAGUUGCUCCACAAUUCACAGGUUAGUAGAUUAUGGCUGGUGUAACCUGCCUCAAAGCUCUUGUAUAUUGUACUACCUAAAAGUUUUAGGAGUCACUUAUACAUAUGAACAAACUUAUCAGUCCUCUAGGUCUUUAUGGCACGCUUAUGUCUGGAGUAGCGUAACAUUUCCCUGCACGGACACCACCACCAUAAAAAAAAAAAACGGCAUAACAUUUUCCUGCCAUUUAUAGCCUCUUGAGAUGUCAAAAUGUGACAAAUAAUUUGAGACAGGCAAGGGUAUAAAAGAUAUUCAAACCUCAAAGAGCAUUCCUAUCAUCUCGUGUCAGUUAAUCCUUAAUAAAAGAAACUGCUUGUGAGGAUGAAUCUCACUACAUUUAACAAAUGCUUGAUCUCAUGUAUAUGCCACUGCAGGGAUUUCUAUUAUUGAAGAUGGAAGUGAGGGUAUUACUAUGGAAUUAGAGAUGCAAUGGGAUGGNNNNNNNNNNNNNNNNNNNNNNNNNNNNNNNNNNNNNNNNNNNNNNNNNNNNNNNNNNNNNNNNNNNNNNNNNNNNNNNNNNNNNNNNNNNNNNNNNNNNNNNNNNNNNNNNNNNNNNNNNNNNNNNNNNNNNNNNNNNNNNNNNNNNNNNNNNNNNNNNNNNNNNNNNNNNNNNNNNNNNNNNNNNNNNNNNNNNNNNNNNNNNNNNNNNNNNNNNNNNNNNNNNNNNNNNNNNNNNNNNNNNNNUUUCAUCAAAUAACAUCACCAUUGAUGAGGGAAUGAAUAUCACCUUUCUUAGCCUAUCAUCUUUAUUCUUAUCAUCUUGUGAACUGAAGGAUUUUCCACACUUCUUGAGAAAUGUAAAGACACUUGUGUACUUGGAUAUUUCUAACAAUAUGAUUCGUGGUCAAAUUCCUGACUGGUUUAGUGGCAUGAGGUGGGACAACUUGUGGUACCUAAAUAUUUCACAUAAUCUUUUGACAGGUUACCUACCACAACUGCAUUUCCAUAAUCUAGGGUAUCUUGAUCUGAAAUUUAACUCCCUUCUGGGUCCACUACCUUUAUCCAUUUGUAACAUGAGCUCGCUUAUCUUAUUAGAUUUAUCACGCAACAACUUCAGUAACUACAGUUUCGUAUGAGGAUUCAUUGAGUUUGGUAAUCAAAGGGCAGGAUAUUGAGCUACAAAGAAUCAACACAAUUAUGACAACCAUAGAUCUCUCAAGCAACCAUUUUGAAGGUGUCAUUCCGAAAACACUAAAGGAUCUCAGCUCACUUUGGCUACUCAAUUUAUCCCAUAACAAUCUCAUAGGUCAUAUUCCAAUGGAACUAGGGCAAUUGAAUACGCUUGAAGCUUUAGAUCUCUCUUGGAAUUGGCUCACUGGAAAUAUUCUGCAGGAACUGACAAGAAUGAACUUUCUGGCCUUCUUAAACGUCUCUCAAAAUCAUCUUGUCGGACCAAUUCCUCACGGUCUACAGUUCAACACAUUCGAAAAUGAUUCGUAUGGCGGAAACCUUGAUUUAUGUGGUCUUCCUUUAUCAAAGCAAUGUGGAACGAGUGAUUCAUCACAUGUUCCUCAACCAUUGGAGUCCGCAGAAGAAGGCAAGUCAUAUUUUUUUAGUAGUAAUAGGCUACAGUUUUGGACUUGUCAUUGGAACUGUCAUGUGGAGCCUCAUGUUUAAAUAUCGUAAGUCAAAGUGGUUUGUGGAAAUUUUUGAUGGACUCAUGCCUCACAAAAGAAGAAGGCCAAAGAAGAGAGCUCAGAGACGAAGGACUUAAUGGAAGAUUGAGAGGGCUAAAUUGUCUUUGUUUGAUUUUGUGGAC
RNAcentral lists this long non-coding RNA (5086 nucleotides) under Solanum tuberosum (potato). RNAcentral's name for it is "long non-coding RNA (STUB_LNC000285)". Lineage: Eukaryota; Viridiplantae; Streptophyta; Magnoliopsida; Solanales; Solanaceae. The record is from RNAcentral.